This 425-nucleotide RNase P RNA is filed under the name Betaproteobacteria bacterium. Its description in RNAcentral is "RNase P RNA component class A". It matches the Rfam family "Bacterial RNase P class A". From Rfam's summary of the family: Ribonuclease P (RNase P) is a ubiquitous endoribonuclease, found in archaea, bacteria and eukarya as well as chloroplasts and mitochondria. Lineage: Bacteria; Pseudomonadati; Pseudomonadota; Betaproteobacteria. The record is from RNAcentral.
GAAGCUGGCCAGGCAGCCGCUGGGCACCCUCGGGUGCCGGGAGGAAAGUCCGGGCUCCGCAGAGCAGGAUGCUGGCUAACGGCCAGGCGCUAUAAGCCGCAAGGCAAAGGCGACGGAAAGUGCAACAGAGAAUAGACCGCCGAUGGCCCGGGCAACCGGGAUCAGGCAAGGGUGAAACGGUGCCUGGGCGACAGUCCGGGCGAUCCGGCGCAAGCCGGCUCGGGGUAAGAGCCCACCGCGGCUGUGGCGACACAGACGGCACGGCAAACCCCAUCCGGAGCAAGACCAAAUAGGGGAGCAUUAGGCGUGGCUCGCGCUGCUCCCGGGUAGGUUGCUUGAGCGCACUGGUAACGGUGCGCCUAGAGGAAUGGUUGCCAGGCGCUUUCGGGCGUCUACAGAACCCGGCUUAUCGGCCAGCUUCACAC